RNAcentral lists this unclassified non-coding RNA (489 nucleotides) under Acromyrmex echinatior (Panamanian leafcutter ant). Its description in RNAcentral is "uncharacterized LOC105150888, transcript variant X3". Lineage: Eukaryota; Metazoa; Arthropoda; Insecta; Hymenoptera; Formicidae. The record is from RNAcentral.
ACUGCCGUGGAUGUCGUCGUCGCUUUUUUGCGUUUAACCUUCGAAUUUGAAGAGCUGAGAAUGGAAGAGGGAUGCAGGGAAAAGAGGAGAGAAGGAGAGACAGUGCCAUCCGAUUUAAACGUCGUCGAUCUAAAAGUAUAUCUACCAUACUUUGACCAUCAACAGCAUGGUGUGCUGAUCUAUGGUUCCUUGGUUCACCAUAAAAGGAACUAUUCGGAUUAGACAAGCACAGUCGAUCGAUCAAUCGUACAACUAGAAGAAACAAACUUUGGCCGAAUGUAUUUCGGCAUUACAAAGUACUAGAAAAUGUAUGUCUUGUAUAUUACAAAAAAAUGGUAUAUAGUCGACUAUUCGUUUUGCAAAAUAAUAAUAAUUUCAUAUUUUUUUUACCAAAUAUGACGUAUUACCACGUAUGAUAUUUACACAGUUUGCAAAGCUUUUUAUGCUAUUCAUCAACUCGGUAUGUAUAAAGUAUUGUAAUAAUUCGAA